RNAcentral lists this ribosomal RNA (407 nucleotides) under uncultured bacterium. Its description in RNAcentral is "partial 16S ribosomal RNA". It matches the Rfam family "Bacterial small subunit ribosomal RNA", at positions 30 to 526 of the family's 1533-position model. The record is from RNAcentral.
AUUGAACGCUGGCGGCAGGCCUAACACAUGCAAGUCGAGCGGAGCGGCGGACGGGUGAGUAAUGCCUAGGAAUCUGCCUGGUAGCGGGGGAUAACGACCGGAAACGGGCGCUAAUACCGCAUACUAUCAGAUCAGCCUAGGUCGGAUUAGCUAGUUGGUGGGGUAAAGGCGUACCAAGGCGACGAUCCGUAACUGGUCUGAGAGGAUGAUCAGUCACACUGGAACUGAGACACGGUCCAGACUCCUACGGGAGGCAGCAGUGGGGAAUAUUGGACAAUGGGCGAAAGCCUGAUCCAGCCAUGCCGCGUGUGUGAAGAAGGUCUUCGGAUUGUAAAGCACUUUAAGUUGGGAGGCGUUACCUGCAGAAUAAGCACCGGCUAACUACGUGCCAGCAGCCGCGGUAAUAC